GAACAAUGACCAAGACAGUAUGUGUGUACAUUGAGAGUAGGUAUAUGCAUAUGAGGGCAGGCGCAACAGAGACCAGAGGCAUCAGAUCCCCCUGGGGCUCAAGUUACAGUCAAUGAUGAUGCUGUCCACCUUCUGUGCACACAGGAACCUGUCAAACCAGUUAUCCUGAUGUCCAACAAAUAUUCUUUGCAACAGUAGCAAAGAGAAAGUGUCAACUACCUGCCAGAAGCCAAAAAGAGUCAUUUCACAUUCUGUAUUAUGAAGUGGGAGAUUGAAAAUAAUUUGAAGUUUCAAAUUAAGAUUAGAAAUGCAUU
Mastomys coucha (southern multimammate mouse) is the source of this 314-nucleotide long non-coding RNA. RefSeq lists it as uncharacterized. Lineage: Eukaryota; Metazoa; Chordata; Mammalia; Rodentia; Muridae. The transcript is spliced from 3 exons. The record is from RefSeq and is a predicted model, not a curated record.